RNAcentral lists this ribosomal RNA (252 nucleotides) under uncultured bacterium. RNAcentral's name for it is "partial 16S ribosomal RNA". It matches the Rfam family "Bacterial small subunit ribosomal RNA", at positions 524 to 776 of the family's 1533-position model. The record is from RNAcentral.
UACGAAGGGGCUAGCGUUGCUCGGAAUCACUGGGCGUAAAGGGUGCGUAGGCGGGUCUUAAGUCAGGGGUGAAAUCCUGGAGCUCAACUCCAGAACUGCCUUUGAUACUGAAGAUCUUGAGUUCGGGAGAGGUGAGUGGAACUGCGAGUGUAGAGGUGAAAUUCGUAGAUAUUCGCAAGAACACCAGUGGCGAAGGCGGCUCACUGGCCCGAUACUGACGCUGAGGCACGGAAAGCGUGGGGAGCAAACAGG